GUGCCCGUAGCUCAGUUGGCAGAGCAGGGGACUUUUAAUCCCAAGGUCGUGGGUUCGAUCCCCACCGGGCGCACCA
RNAcentral lists this transfer RNA (76 nucleotides) under Caudoviricetes sp. RNAcentral describes it as "tRNA-Lys". It matches the Rfam family "tRNA". From Rfam's summary of the family: Transfer RNA (tRNA) molecules are approximately 80 nucleotides in length. Lineage: Duplodnaviria; Heunggongvirae; Uroviricota; Caudoviricetes. The record is from RNAcentral.